This is a non-coding RNA of Mycena leptocephala, 97 nucleotides long. The record is from the annotation of a GenBank genome assembly. NCBI's taxonomy places the organism in Eukaryota, Fungi, Basidiomycota, Agaricomycetes, Agaricales, Mycenaceae.
GGUCUCGUAGCUCAGCGGUUAGAGCAUCGGAUUAUCAUUUGCCUCCAAUAAGGGAAUGUUUAUUCCGAAAACCAGGGUUCGACUCCCUGCGAGGUGA